RNAcentral lists this ribosomal RNA (1704 nucleotides) under Triticum aestivum (bread wheat). Its description in RNAcentral is "partial small subunit ribosomal RNA". Lineage: Eukaryota; Viridiplantae; Streptophyta; Magnoliopsida; Poales; Poaceae. The record is from RNAcentral.
AUGCAGAUGGACAGACGGCUCCUGAAAGCAGCCACAUCGGGUGACUCGGCGUCGAUGCAGGCCAUGGCUUCGCAGGAUCUAAGCAUUCUUCUCGGAACAACCCCGCAGGGGAACACUUGUCUCCACAUAUCCUCCAUCCAUGGCCACGAGGGGUUCUGCGUGGACGUGAUCGCACUAGAGGACUCCCUGCUCGCCCAGACCAACCUGGACGGCGAGACGCCGCUUGUCGCCGCCGUGAGAAGCGGCUCCGUGGCCGUGGCUUCCGCCUUGCUCGGACGCUACCGAGUGCGGCGGUUGAGCGAGGCCAUCUUGGAGAAAGACAAGGACGGAUGCAGUGCGCUCCACCAUGCCAUCUGCAGCGGCGACACGGAGCUCGCUCUGGAGCUGAUAGAAGCAGAGCCCGCCCUCUCCAAAGGUGUCAACAACUUCGGCGACUCGCCAAUGUACGUUGCUGCCGCCAGAGAUCUUACUAGCGUUGCCCUGAGACUGUUGGAGAUUGGCGAUUCUGAUCACGGGGGACAGUUCGGCUACAAUGCUCUCCAUUCAGCAGUCAGAAAUGGGAACUCAGUUAUCGUUAAAAGAAUCAUGGCCAAACGUCCUGGGCUGGCCAAAGAAGCUCACAAGCGUGGGUAUACUCCAAUGUGCACGGCCAUGUACCGUGACAAGAUCGACAUGCUACGGCUGCUGCUGGAGCAUGAUCCCGCUCUAGGGUAUGACAUGACGAGCGAUGGUUAUUCUCUCCUUCAGGUUGCUGCACACGCAGGUCAUGUUGCCACUGCACGCGAGCUGCUUAAGCACUGCCCAGAUGCUCCUUGCCGCGGAGCACGCGUUGAGCGUUGGACGUGCCUCCACACAUCCGUAUACUAUGGUCAUCUGGACUUUGUGAAAUUUGUCCUCGCAACGCCACAGCUUGGCAAACUGGUCAACAUGCAGGACAACAAAGGAAGAACUGCUCUGCAUCUCGCUGUGGAGAACUGUGAUCCAAAAGUGGUUGCUGCUUUACUGUCUCAUAAGGAUACACACACACAUGUGAUGAACAACAACGGCACGUCACCAGCUUGGGUAUUGUCAGGAAUCAUGCAUCGUGCCACGACGUUAAACUGGAAUGAAGUGAUGAUGCUUAUGCUGAGAGCUGAUCCCCAAAGUGCCCCUUCAGCUUAUAAUCUUCAUGUGCACACAACACGGCUGUUGACCGAUGCAUCACGGAUGGAUGCAAAGUCACUAACUAAAACAUACACAACCAACACCUCAUUAGUGGCGAUCCUCAUUACAACAAUCACCUUUGCCGCUGCUUUCACCCUCCCCGGAGGAUACAGCAGUGCUACUGGAAGCGAGGGACUUCCCAUCAUGUCUCAAAAGGCUGCAUUCAAGGCAUUCAUAAUCUCUGACACCUUAGCAAUGUGCUCUUCAUUUGUUGUCGCCUUUAUAUGCAUCGUAGCAAGGUGGAAGGAUUAUGAGUUCUUGAUCUAUUACAGAUCCUUCACUAGGAAGCUCAUGUGGUUUGCAUACGUGGCAACAACUACGGCCUUUUCAACUGGUUUAUACACAGUGCUGGCUCAACGUCUCCACUGGCUAUCCAUAUCAAUUUGUGUUUUGGUAGCUUUGUUGCCCAUUCUUACUAAGUUGCUGGGCGAAUGGCCUUACUUGAAGAUCAGAUUCGGCUUAGGUAGAACUUUCAGCUCCGAUCUCCUUGACAUGGUGUGA